UUUUGAUUUCCUGAUUCGCAAAAAAGAAAAAGAAGAAAGGUUUCUGAUAUGUAAUAAAGUAUUUAAUAAGUUUCUUUAAUUUUAAUAUAUAAUACUCCCCGCGAUAAAAAGAUAGUAUACUCCUAAAUAUUGCUAUUUUUUGAAUGUGAUGAAACUUGAUUUUUUCCUUAUAUAUAUAUAUAUAUAUAACGAAAUAUAUAUAUAUAUAUAUAUAUUUCGAUGGAAUUCCAAAGUUGUUUUUAUUGGAAGAGUUAAAUUGAAACGUAAACAAGAGGAGUCAUCAAUGUGAGAAAAUGAUGACAUAGCCUCGAGAUUCUUUUUUUGCUGUUAUUAGACCACCCGAUCGUGUACUGUAUUAUUGUGUGUGUUUGUUGUCGUUUUUUUUAUUAACAUUUUACUCUGUGUAGAAGAAAAUUUUUAUCCGACGUCGAAAUAAAAACGGUUUUGGUACUACAUAAAGAGAACCAUUUCGUUUCAAAAAUUACACGCAUUAUAUAUCGAAACAGAAAAUGAUGAAAACAUUGAAUUUGUGAGGUGUGCCAUUUUUUGUCGUGAAGUAUAUGUGUAUACGCAUUUAUAUAUUACAAUAUACCAAUUAUAAACAGAACCAUACAAACACAAUAUCUCCUUUUUAUACUUUGUUGAAAGGUUUGUUAAAAUCAUGCAAAUAAGAUAUAUAUCUUUUAUUAUACACACUUAAUACAUUACUUAAAACUAUAUCAGUAUGUCUGUACUUCACGUGUUCAAGAAAAAAAGACCAAAAAAGUAUAACAAUAAUGAUGAUUUUUCCAUGAAA
Vespa velutina is the source of this 796-nucleotide long non-coding RNA. RefSeq lists it as uncharacterized. NCBI's taxonomy places the organism in Eukaryota, Metazoa, Arthropoda, Insecta, Hymenoptera, Vespidae. The record is from RefSeq and is a predicted model, not a curated record. The transcript has 2 exons.